UGUGUCCUACGGGGCGCAGCAGUGAGGAAUAUUGGUCAAUGGGCGCGAGCCUGAACCAGCCAAGUAGCGUGAAGGAUGACCGCCCUACGGGUUGUAAACUUCUUUUAUAAAGGAAUAAAGUGAGGCACGUGUGCCUUUUUGUAUGUACUUUAUGAAUAAGGACCGGCUAACUCCGUGCCAGCAGCCGCGGUAAUACGGAGGAUCCGAGCGUUAUCCGGAUUUAUUGGGUUUAAAGGGCGCGUAGAUGGGGUGUUAAGUCAGUUG
This 264-nucleotide ribosomal RNA is filed under the name uncultured bacterium. Its description in RNAcentral is "partial 16S ribosomal RNA". It matches the Rfam family "Bacterial small subunit ribosomal RNA", at positions 333 to 594 of the family's 1533-position model. The record is from RNAcentral.